RNAcentral lists this ribosomal RNA (576 nucleotides) under uncultured bacterium. RNAcentral describes it as "bacterial SSU rRNA". It matches the Rfam family "Bacterial small subunit ribosomal RNA", at positions 338 to 916 of the family's 1533-position model. The record is from RNAcentral.
CCUACGGGAGGCAGCAGUGAGGAAUAUUGGACAAUGGGCGCAAGCCUGAUCCAGCCAUGCCGCGUGCAGGAAGACGCAUCUAUGGUGUGUAAACUGCUUUUGUACGGGAAGAAACACUCCCUCGUGAGGGAGCUUGACGGUACCGUAAGAAUAAGGAUCGGCUAACUCCGUGCCAGCAGCCGCGGUAAUACGGAGGAUCCAAGCGUUAUCCGGAAUCAUUGGGUUUAAAGGGUCCGUAGGCGGUUUAAUAAGUCAGUGGUGAAAGCCCAUCGCUCAACGAUGGAACGGCCAUUGAUACUGUUAGACUUGAAUUACUAGGAAGUAACUAGAAUAUGUAGUGUAGCGGUGAAAUGCUUAGAUAUUACAUGGAAUACCAAUUGCGAAGGCAGGUUACUACUAGUGGAUUGACGCUGAUGGACGAAAGCGUGGGGAGCGAACAGGAUUAGAUACCCUGGUAGUCCACGCCGUAAACGAUGGAUACUAGCUGUUGGGCGCAAGUUCAGUGGCUAAGCGAAAGUGAUAAGUAUCCCACCUGGGGAGUACGUUCGCAAGAAUGAAACUCAAAUGAAUUGACGG